AUUGAACGCUGGCGGCAUGCCUUACACAUGCAAGUCGAACGGUAACAGGGAGCUUGCUCCGCUGACGAGUGGCGAACGGGUGAGUAAUGUAUCGGGAACGUACCUUUCAGUGGGGGAUAACGUAGCGAAAGUUACGCUAAUACCGCAUAUUCUGUGAGCAGGAAAGCAGGGGAUCGCAAGACCUUGCGCUGAUUGAGCGGCCGAUAUCAGAUUAGCUAGUUGGUGAGGUAAAGGCUCACCAAGGCGACGAUCUGUAGCGGGUCUGAGAGGAUGAUCCGCACACUGGAACUGAGACACGGUCCAGACUCCUACGGGAGGCAGCAGUGGGGAAUUUUUGGACAAUGGGGGCAACCCUGAUCCAGCCAUGCCGCGUGAGUGAAGAAGGCC
RNAcentral lists this ribosomal RNA (387 nucleotides) under uncultured bacterium. Its description in RNAcentral is "bacterial SSU rRNA". It matches the Rfam family "Bacterial small subunit ribosomal RNA", at positions 30 to 416 of the family's 1533-position model. The record is from RNAcentral.